ACUGCAAUUGGAUAUAACCCGUACAAAAUUACAAUUUAUGACAAUAGGCCGCAAAACAUACAUAUGUAUAUAUAUACGGAAUAGCUGAAUGGAACUACGGUCUUUGUCUGGCACUACUCAGGCUGAUACGAUAUGAUAUAUACUGUCAACAGCCGUGUCGAUAUAGCUUGGACUUUGCCCGGCUGCGGACCACUUUAUCAUAUAUCUGACGUGGGAAAUAAGUCAAGAAAUGAGUUUAUCAAAAAAUCUUAAGCAAAGUCUACAAAUACGAGCUCCACCAUAAGAUCGGAUCACCAUAUCAUAAAGCUGUCUUAUCUGGGGUAAGGGUAUUCAAACUUCGGCUUCGAAUACCCGUUUGGCUUCUUGUAUAGGUAUUAAGGUGCUUUUGUAUGGGUUUUAAUUGAUAAAGCGGGACAUAGCUGCUGGCACACGGGCGGGCGCUGGGACACUCGAGCCCGCGCCUUGUUAUCAAGCCAAGAUUGGAGAUGACAACGCAGAUAAUAAAUUUUUUUUUUGGGUUUUUUAUAGGGCUUAUCUCUCGCACUCACAGCAGUUCCUGUUUAAGUUGUAGAUGUCUUCGUUGUUGUUGUGAUUGUUGUUGUUGCUGCUGGUUGCGACACAGCUGUUGGGUUAAUGCUGUGCUCGCGCUUCUGCUAUUGUGACUAAUCAUAAGCGCGAAUCGGCCAAUGCUUAGCAAUUCAUUAUUCAGUUUUUGUUUUUGUGACGUCAUCGUCGCCGCCUUUAGCGGCAGCUGAACGAAGGCGCCAAGCAUAAUUUCACAAUUUCACAGCGGUGCGAAAAUAACUUAACUAAUGUUUUACCACUAGCCAGAACAACUAGCAACUUUAUAAAUUCGUUGGUAUAUAUCGUUUACUACUAGAUAAAGUAUAUUGUACACGUUUAUUGCCGCCUUGCAUAAUAUAAGGUUCCAAUGAAAUGAGGGCUUGUGCGCUUACCUUGAAGAAAUAUACAAAAAGAAUAACGAAAUUUCAAAUAUAAUUUAGAUACUUUUGUGUAGGUGUGACACACCCAAUUUAAAUAAAAAUAUGAUUUGUAAAUUUGAUUAA
Long non-coding RNA from Drosophila montana, 1067 nucleotides. RefSeq lists it as uncharacterized. NCBI's taxonomy places the organism in Eukaryota, Metazoa, Arthropoda, Insecta, Diptera, Drosophilidae. The record is from RefSeq and is a predicted model, not a curated record. The transcript has 2 exons.